AUUGGGCUCAGUCCUGGCUGUGGAGGGUAGUGCCUUGCCCAGCUCCUCUGGCUGGUGACAGCCCUCGGGCCUCAGUUCAGUUGUAUCUGAUCAGGACUUGACCACACAGAGGCUUCCUUUUCUCCAAGAAGAGGAUGGAAUAGACAAGCUGGAGCUGCUGGCUCCCGGAUGAAUUUCAGACCUGGGGUUCUCAGCUCCAGGCAACUUGGACUCCCAGGACCUCCUGAUGUUCCUGACCAUGCUGCUUACCACCCCUUCCGCCGUCUGGCCAUCUCUGCACAGCCAGGCUGGACCUAUCCCUGACAGCAUGCUCUUCUGUUUGAAAAUCUCCUGUGACAAAGGCCAUUCUAGGUGGAGUGUAUGUGUGGCAGGAUGGGGGGCUGGAGCUUGGUGGCAGCGCUGCUGGUUGCCCGCCUCCUGACUGCCUUCCUGCUCCCUUUCUGUUUCCGGAUGUUCCUGCCCUAGUGCCUGCUUCAGCACCACCAGCCACCUCAAAUCCUGAUCCAGCUGUGUCUCGUGUCAUGAAUAUGAAAAUCGAAGGUGCCCCCAAGGCCAGAGGCCCUGUCCUAACAGGGGGAUCCUGGGAGGGGAGUGACCUGUCACAUGUCUCGAUGUUGAAGUAGUGAGGGAACCCAGCCACACCUAGUCACUGCUCCCUCCCUCAACCUCCCACUCCUCAGGAAGGGGCUGCCUAAACCCAGACUUUUUCUUCUUUUAGAAACAACCAUGACAACCCAAACCCCAGCCCCCAUACAGGCUCCCUCUGCCAUCCUGCCACUGCCUGGGCAGAGUGUGGAGCGGCUCUGUGUGGACCCCAGACACCGCCAGGGGCCAGUGAACCUGCUCUCAGACCCUGAGCAAG
RNAcentral lists this long non-coding RNA (862 nucleotides) under Homo sapiens (human). RNAcentral describes it as "HSALNT0054741". Lineage: Eukaryota; Metazoa; Chordata; Mammalia; Primates; Hominidae. The record is from RNAcentral.